UGGAGAUUCUGAGAUACCAACUUCUCCAUCACUCAGCAUUGGAGCAGAUGCGGAUAAGAUGGCUCCAAAGCAGAAAAUUAGAAUUAAGCUAAGGUCUUACUGGGUGCCCCUGAUUGAGGACUCCUGCAAGCAGAUAAUGGAUGCUGCUAGGACUACCAAUGCAAAGACCAUGGGUCCUGUACCAUUACCAACAAAGAAGCGAAUCUACUGUGUUUUAAAAUCCCCCCAUGUGCACAAGGAUGCUAGAUUUCAUUUUGAGAUCAGAACCCACCAACGCCUAAUUGAUAUUCUCUACCCAACA
RNAcentral lists this unclassified non-coding RNA (301 nucleotides) under Hevea brasiliensis (rubber tree). Lineage: Eukaryota; Viridiplantae; Streptophyta; Magnoliopsida; Malpighiales; Euphorbiaceae. The record is from RNAcentral.